Molecule: ribosomal RNA, 599 nt
Filed under: Trichoderma harzianum
Lineage: Eukaryota; Fungi; Ascomycota; Sordariomycetes; Hypocreales; Hypocreaceae
Description: eukaryotic LSU rRNA
Rfam family: 5.8S ribosomal RNA (bases 256-409)
Source: RNAcentral
UGGAAGUAAAAGUCGUAACAAGGUCUCCGUUGGUGAACCAGCGGAGGGAUCAUUACCGAGUUUACAACUCCCAAACCCAAUGUGAACGUUACCAAACUGUUGCCUCGGCGGGAUCUCUGCCCCGGGUGCGUCGCAGCCCCGGACCAAGGCGCCCGCCGGAGGACCAACCAAAACUCUUUUUGUAUACCCCCUCGCGGGUUUUUUAUAAUCUGAGCCUUCUCGGCGCCUCUCGUAGGCGUUUCGAAAAUGAAUCAAAACUUUCAACAACGGAUCUCUUGGUUCUGGCAUCGAUGAAGAACGCAGCGAAAUGCGAUAAGUAAUGUGAAUUGCAGAAUUCAGUGAAUCAUCGAAUCUUUGAACGCACAUUGCGCCCGCCAGUAUUCUGGCGGGCAUGCCUGUCCGAGCGUCAUUUCAACCCUCGAACCCCUCCGGGGGGUCGGCGUUGGGGAUCGGCCCUCCCUUAGCGGGUGGCCGUCUCCGAAAUACAGUGGCGGUCUCGCCGCAGCCUCUCCUGCGCAGUAGUUUGCACACUCGCAUCGGGAGCGCGGCGCGUCCACAGCCGUUAAACACCCAACUUCUGAAAUGUUGACCUCGGAUCA